UCUGCGUUGGUUUGCGCCAGGUAUACGCAUAGUUUUCAGGCAAGGAAAGAAGUCUCAAUACUAUUAGUUGACAAGAUUAAUGUUUAUACUGUCGCCUAUUUUUCAACUCCAUAAUCUUAAGCUAGGUUUUAAAAGUUCAUUAUUAAUAGUUAGAUGUGCGUAGACCUCAGAAACACAUAAAAUGAAUGGUGCUUCAGAAGUACGCGCACCAGGAUGUUGUACAACCUGAAUCCUAACCGGUACAUACAUACCAUUUUCAGGUUGUGCGCAUACUUCUGGAGGUCCAAAUGAGUUUUCUUAAUUCGAUACGCUUUUGUUUCUGCCAUAUUCAUAUUUCUGAUUGUCAUUUUGAGUGUUAUAUGAUUAUAGUUUCUGUAAUCUUAUAUUUUCAUUGUACAUGAUUUACUCAACAUGUAUUUUGUUUUCAUUUUGCGCGAGCACAUCGUUCCUAAUUUAUAAUAAAAUUAUUUACGUUUGUUAGGCCUAAAUGGCACUUUUUGAUGUAAUGUGAGCUGCUGAGCUUCUCGGAACCUAUAUCUCUUAGCUGUUGCUUCAAACGACAAUUUUCCAAUGUAUUUUAUUUUUUGCUUUUAAUUGGCUGAAUUGUUCGAUACUAAUUUGCUAAGCUAUAAAGUGAGUCCUGACUAAUACUCUAAAUUACAGGCUUGAAGAAAGAAGUGAAAGAAAACCUAUAUCGACAUAUGAUAUCAACACGAUUGAUGGUCGAGUCAAAGUUGACUGAUGUAAAUGGCAAGAAAACAUACGGCGAAUACAAAAUGAAUUUUUGAAGACAAAUGGCAACUGCAGUUUGUCAUUUGUCCCGGGACAAAGUUACAAUUGGACUGGGUGUACAGAGUAG
Non-coding RNA from Styela clava, 859 nucleotides. The record is from RefSeq and is a predicted model, not a curated record. NCBI's taxonomy places the organism in Eukaryota, Metazoa, Chordata, Ascidiacea, Stolidobranchia, Styelidae.